Molecule: ribosomal RNA, 427 nt
Filed under: uncultured prokaryote
Description: bacterial SSU rRNA
Rfam family: Bacterial small subunit ribosomal RNA
Source: RNAcentral
UGGGGAAUUUUGGACAAUGGGGGGAACCCUGAUCCAGCCAUGCCGCGUGUAUGAAGAAGGCCUUCGGGUUGUAAAGUACUUUUGUUAGGGAAGAAAAGCUUGCUGCUAAUAUCAGUGAGUGCUGACGGUACCUAAAGAAUAAGCACCGGCUAACUACGUGCCAGCAGCCGCGGUAAUACGUAGGGUGCAAGCGUUAAUCGGAAUUACUGGGCGUAAAGCGAGCGCAGGCGGUUAUUUAAGUCAGGUGUGAAAUCCCCGAGCUCAACUUGGGAAUUGCGCUUGAAACUGGGUAACUAGAGUGUGUCAGAGGGGGGUAGAAUUCCACGUGUAGCAGUGAAAUGCGUAGAGAUGUGGAGGAAUACCGAUGGCGAAGGCAGCCCCCUGGGAUAACACUGACGCUCAUGCUCGAAAGCGUGGGUAGCAAACA